This is a long non-coding RNA of Phalaenopsis equestris, 231 nucleotides long. RefSeq lists it as uncharacterized. The transcript is spliced from 2 exons. The record is from RefSeq and is a predicted model, not a curated record. Lineage: Eukaryota; Viridiplantae; Streptophyta; Magnoliopsida; Asparagales; Orchidaceae.
AUUGUAAUUUUUUCAUGCUAGCAAAAUAAGCAAAACUGUGAAAACAAGAUUGUGAAGAUUGCUCAUGCUGGCGGAGUUUGAAAGCAACAAGAUGUCAUAUCCAUGAUGAAGCUUGAAGUUUGUCAAAGUUAGCUUAUACAUUUCACAGUUUAUUGUUUAGUAUUUUGUCUAUGAAUGAUGAUUGCUCUUUGUUUGCCAAACAUAUGCAAUCAAUUGAGCAGAUGGAUUACU